AUGUGGUUCUUUGCAGGGCUUGCCAGGCUUUCCUGGUGUGCUGGGACGCCCGGUAGGUGUCUGUAUGUCCCCCAUGUCCCUGUGCCCCACCACCUCAGCACACAGCUGGGGGCUCCUGGCUGUGAAUGCUUGGUGAAACCACGGGGGUCACCCUGCUGCCAGGCCGGGUCCUUGGCCCCCUGCAUCUUAGCAGGACCUGUCCUGGCUUGUCUUACUUGGUGCUUACAAGAGCCGCUGGCACUGUCUGGGUCUGCUCUCCCUGGGGACACCCCCUGUUCCCACUGGGGAAAACCCACUUCUGCAGUGAUCCCGUUUCUUCCUCCCUUCAGGGCAAUCAGGGAGACCCAGGACCCCCAGGACCUCCGGGCAGCACUGGUGCACCAGGGACCCAGGGCCCAGCUGGUGCCAAGGGUGAUCCAGGAGAACCUGGCUCCAGCAUCCGUGGCUUGCCUGGACCCCAGGGCAACAUGGGCCUGCCAGGACCACUUGGCCCCCCUGGCCCAGGGGUAGGUAUUUGAACACCCCAGACCCGUCCCUUGGCUGUUCCUGGUGCCUGGCAUGCUGCUUGAUUUCUGUUCAUGUCUCCAUUGCAGGGCCCACCCGGUGUCCCUGGGCUGCCGGGACAAGUGGUGAGUGUGUUGCCCCCCACAUCUGCCUGCCAUCCUCUGGCUGUGUGGGUGCUUGGGGCUGCCUGGGGGGGCUGUAGGACCCCCACACCCCACCCCAACUCUCGCUGCCUGCAGGGGGAGAGCGGGAAGCCAGGCGUGCCGGGCAGGGAUGGAGUGCCAGGGAAGGAUGGUGAGGCAGGAGUGCCUGGGAAGAUGGUAUGUUGAUGCUUACCCUGCCCCAUCCCAGGGACACCCCCACUCAGCUCAGCCUGGAUUGUCUGCAGCUGAGGCUGAGGGCUGUGCUGCUUCUGCCAGGGCUUACCGGGACCUGUGGGGCCUGCUGGUCCCAAGGGAGAGCCAGGGGAUGCUGGAGCCCCAGGGCAGGUGAGUGCAGAGCUGCCUUGUCCAGUGUUCCUGGCCAGGAGGAUGGGGAGCAUCCCCGUGCAGCCCUGGUCACCUGCCCACUGUGUCCUCUGCCCCAGGCCAUCGCUGGGCCCCCUGGAGCCAAGGGAGAGAAGGUAAGGAGCUAGGGUGUGAGGGCUGGGUGUCUGCUGGGCACUGGCAUCCACAGUGGACACAUCUGAGCACCCAUGUGUCCCCUGCAGGGCGAGCCGGCGCUGCUGGAGGGUGUGCUGCUGGGAGAGCCCGUGAGUCACCCCCAUAAACCCA
This 1277-nucleotide long non-coding RNA is filed under the name Cyanistes caeruleus (blue tit). RNAcentral's name for it is "lncRNA (ENSCCEG00000021977.1)". Lineage: Eukaryota; Metazoa; Chordata; Aves; Passeriformes; Paridae. The record is from RNAcentral.